RNAcentral lists this ribosomal RNA (423 nucleotides) under uncultured bacterium. Its description in RNAcentral is "bacterial SSU rRNA". It matches the Rfam family "Bacterial small subunit ribosomal RNA", at positions 355 to 774 of the family's 1533-position model. The record is from RNAcentral.
UGAGGAAUAUUGGUCAAUGGGCGCGAGCCUGAACCAGCCAAGUAGCGUGAAGGAUGAAGGUCCUAUGGAUUGUAAACUUCUUUUAUAGCAGAAUAAAGUGACCCACGUGUGGGUUUUUGUAUGUAUGCUAUGAAUAAGGAUCGGCUAACUCCGUGCCAGCAGCCGCGGUAAUACGGAGGAUCCGAGCGUUAUCCGGAUUUAUUGGGUUUAAAGGGUGCGUAGGCGGAAAGAUAAGUCAGCCUGUGAAAGUUUGCGGCUCAACCGUAAAAUUGCAGUUGAUACUGUUUUUCUUGAGUGUACAUAAGGUAGGCGGAAUUCGUGGUGUAGCGGUGAAAUGCUUAGAUAUCACGAAGAACUCCGAUUGCGAAGGCAGCUUACCGGGGUACAACUGACGCUGAUGCACGAAAGUGUUGGUAUCAAACA